AUUUGACUUCUGCAUUUAAUCGUUGGUGUACAGCUUCUGAAGUUAGUACUUUUGAGGAUCUGUCUAAUUUGAUUGUGUUAGAACAGUUCAAAAAUUCUGUGUCUGACCAGGUUGCUACAUACAUGAAUGAACAUAAAGUUAAGUCUCCAAGUGAUGCAGCAAUAACUUUACUUCCAGGAAUAGUAGGUCAAAUUUCUUUUGAGCUUCUUUCCAAAGGCCUCAACAGAAGUUUGGGUCUGGAGGACUUAAAGCACCGGUGAAUGCUAAUACCUGUCGCUAUUGUUUAAUUGAAGGACAUUGGAAGAAAGAUUGUCCUCUACUUAAAUAAAAAAAGUCAGGUCAAGUUAAACCUGCUUUGAUGGCAACUCCUGUUUCAGCCUCUGACCACCAGGGUGAGUUUUUUCAGCCACUAGUUGAGUUUGAUUCUCAGUCUUCCCAUUGUGAUUUUUCAGCCUUUAUUUCAGAUGGUGUAGUGUCCCUGAAAGAUGGCAACCAAAAUGUUUCGAUCAAGAUCUUAAGAGACACUGGAGCUUUAGAUUAUUUUAUUCUGGAAUCUGUUUUGCCGUUCUCUAAGGAGUCUGAUACUGGCAGAUGUGUAAUGGUACGUGAUAUGGGUUUAGCUCCAUUCUCUUCUCCUUUACAUGAAGUUACCUUAAAAUGUGGUCUGGUAGAGGGUGAUGUAGAUGUUGGGGUUAGACCCCAGUUGCCAGAAGAGGGAGUCCACAUGAUUUUGGGGAAUGAUUUGGCAGGUAGUAAGGUGUGGGCAGAUGGAAAAGUAAGCAUCUUUACAAAGCAACCUUCAGUGUCCCCAGCAAGGGUAUCUCCAGAUAGCAACUGUGUAUCUCCUGAGAUAUUUCCAGUUUGUGCUGUUACCCGCGCUGCCUCUUGUAAUAAGGUUGAGAGUAAGCCAGAAAGUAUUGAGUUGCCAGUCAAACUCCAGACAGAACAGUUGACUAGUUCUAGAGAUUCAUUGAUAGCUGAGCAAAAGGCUGAUACUACUUUGGAUGAUCUGUUUGAGAAAGUUGUUCCUGAUUCAGUGGUGAGGAAUAGUGCUCAGUGUUACUUUCUUCUUG
Molecule: long non-coding RNA, 1073 nt
Filed under: Salmo trutta (river trout)
Lineage: Eukaryota; Metazoa; Chordata; Actinopteri; Salmoniformes; Salmonidae
Description: lncRNA (ENSSTUG00000035279.1)
Source: RNAcentral